AUUUUUGACUGCAUUCAAAACAGCUGUUCAAUAAUGUAAACAAAAUGGUAACCUCUAAAUUUGAUGGUUAACUUCAUAGAAUUUAUAAAUUAUUCGCAAUGAAUCACAAUUUUCAAUAAAUAAUUCCUUCAAAAUAUGCUAUAUAGAACGGGUGCUCUUAUCUCAGUCUCAGCUGUUGAUUAGUGAGUUUUAUCGCUCAGCAGUUGAAUGUUGAUUUUUAAAAUGGAUGUUUAAGUGAUGAGAGUGAGGAUUGAAGGAUUAUGUAAUGCUUCUUUUGUGGGAAAAGUGAUCAAUAAUGCAGAAAGACAGACACAACUCAGGUGCGGCUUGAUGCGAAUCUAACAAAUGAAAAUCACACGGAACAAGAAAUGCAAACUGGAUUAUGACAAUCUCUGGAUUCAAGCAAUUUUUAUUCUACAUUUGAAAACAUUUGGUUGGAACCAACCAUGCUCUAGUGACGGAAUUGAGGAUGGCAGUGUUAUCAUUGUUGUUUUAUGAAGAAAUACAAUCAGUAUGUAUGACAGUACUAGAUACUACAAUUUCAAUGAAUUGAUACGAGUUCCAAAUUAUUAGAUACUGUAACUGGAUCUAGUAUUUAUCAAUGGAAAAUAUUAGUCGAACUAGAUAACUAGUAGUUAGUUCUGUGAACAGUGGAACUCACGCAGUAUUCUCAUCCACAAGUACCUGAUUGAAACUAUAGACCUUAUAGAAAACAGCAAUAGACAGCUUCUCCACACAUAUGUGUAAUCACGUAAUCAUUGGUGAAUAAUUAUAUAGUCUGAUUUUUACUCUAAUAUUAGCGUAUGAAGGAGGCUCCUUUUCCCCUUUAUAUUAUCCUUGAAAUGCAAAAUUCCCAAAAACCUUGUAUAUACGUCGACGCGCAAUUGAAAAAGGAACAUACCCGUCAAAUUCCAUGGGAAUCUAUUUCCGCGCUUCGCCGU
Nilaparvata lugens (brown planthopper) is the source of this 941-nucleotide long non-coding RNA. RefSeq lists it as uncharacterized. The record is from RefSeq and is a predicted model, not a curated record. Lineage: Eukaryota; Metazoa; Arthropoda; Insecta; Hemiptera; Delphacidae. The transcript is spliced from 3 exons.